CCCCUAGAUGUUCUGGGCCGCACGCGCGCUACACUGAACAGUUCAACAAGUCUUAACCUUGGCCGAUAGGUCUGGGUAAUCUUUGAACGCUGUUCGUGAUUGGGAUAGACCUUUGCAAUUAUGGGUCUUCAACGAGGAAUUCCUAGUAAACGCAAGUCAUCAGCUUGCAUUGAUUACGUCCCUGCCCUUUGUACACACCGCCCGUCGCACCUACCGAUUGAAUGGUCCGGUGAAAUCUCGGGACGGCGGCUUGGUCGCUUGCGUCCGACUGCUGAAAUUUGAUUAAACCAUAUCAUUUAGAGGAAGGUGAAGUCGUAACA
This 320-nucleotide ribosomal RNA is filed under the name uncultured eukaryote. RNAcentral's name for it is "partial 18S ribosomal RNA". It matches the Rfam family "Eukaryotic small subunit ribosomal RNA", at positions 1470 to 1796 of the family's 1831-position model. The record is from RNAcentral.